Molecule: long non-coding RNA, 1512 nt
Filed under: Pogona vitticeps (central bearded dragon)
Lineage: Eukaryota; Metazoa; Chordata; Lepidosauria; Squamata; Agamidae
Description: lncRNA (ENSPVIG00000005967.1)
Source: RNAcentral
CCUUCCUUCCUUCNNNNNNNNNNNNNNNNNNNNNNNNNNNNNNNNNNNNNNNNNNNNNNNNNNNNUUCCUUCAGCAAGAUGCCAAAGACCCCCUCUCUUCCGUGGGCCUGAGUGUCCGGUGCCGUGGACUGUGGAGCGAGUGUAUCUUUGACAACGUGGCCGACCUCUGGACCUGUGACAUCCCAAUUUCUUAUCUCAAUGAACAUCCAGCUGUUCUCGUGGUCACCCGGGUCUUGGUGAUUCUGUCUGGGCUUCUGUCUUUUUCUGCCAUGCCAGCUUUCGUUGCCGGGAUGAGUUGCACCAAGCUUUUCCCCGACACACACACACGGAAACGCACAUUUUCUCUCGCUGCUGGAACCACCUUUCUCCUGGGCGGUAAGUGUCACCUCAACCUUUUCCUACGGUACGGAGCUAAGUGUGAUUUUUUUUUUUCUUGGUGAUUCUGUCUGGGCUUCUGUCUUUUUCUGCCAUGCCAGCUUUCGUUGCCGGGAUGAGUUGCACCAAGCUUUUCCCCGACACACACACACGGAAACGCACAUUUUCUCUCGCUGCUGGAACCACCUUUCUCCUGGGCGGUAAGUGUCACCUCAACCUUUUCCUACGGUACGGAGCUAAGUGUGAUUUUUUUUUUUUACCUCCACAAUAAUUUUUUUUUUUCCUAGGAGGGCCAUCAUGAAAAUUGUAAUAAUUUUUUUAAAAUAAAGUUAACUAAAAAUAAAGAUUUUAGACUAACUCUCUCUCUCUCUCUCACACACACACACACACAUACACGGAUGGAUCGAUGGAUCGAGCGAGGUGUGAAGAUGGUUUUAAUUACCGGUGCAGAUCUAGUGCGAUGAAGAGUUCUGUGCAGCUCACAAGCUUGCUUAUGUUGUGCCUUUUCAUAAUAACAAAGACAAUUCUCUCUCUCUCUCUCUCUCUCUCUCUCUUCUAAUAAAAGCAUUCCUUACUUUUGGAUUUUGGACUUUGGAUUUUUUUUAUUAAUGUGGGAUGAUUUCUAUCCCGUAGGGCUAUCGGGGGCCAUUGCUGUUCUCUGGUACGGCAUCGACACAGUCCAGAAGUAUAAGCUAGAGGUCGGCUUUGGCAUCCCGGGCGUGACGUACGAACUGGGCUACUCCUACUGGAUGGCAGCUGUGGGGGCGGCUUGCGCAGCAGCCAGCGGGUUCUUGUUACUUGCUGCUGAGUGCUUCCAGGCUCGUGUGCCAGGAAAGGAGCCCCACUCCACGCAUCCCCAGCUGGUGGCCAGAUGGCAGGCCACAUACCUGUGAAGGCAGAGCCCAGCAACCUUGGCCAGCUUCAGGACAGAGGUGGAAAACGUUGGCUGGAACACCAGAUGCCUAUUAAACCAGAUGGAGUUAUCCUCUUUCCUUUUUUCUUCUUCACCAUUUGGCUGGUUUCCUCAUUCUGGUCUUUUGCUCAUUGUCCAGAGGCACUAGGCAGUGAUGCGCAUGGUUAAAUCAGGCCUCAUCCGUCGGCCCCGUUUCCUUCCCUUGCGCUCCCAGAGGAGUUCUG